Molecule: ribosomal RNA, 250 nt
Filed under: uncultured bacterium
Lineage: Bacteria
Description: partial 16S ribosomal RNA
Rfam family: Bacterial small subunit ribosomal RNA
Source: RNAcentral
UUCCUACGGGGGGCAGCAGUAGGGAAUCUUCCACAAUGGACGAAAGUCUGAUGGAGCAACGCCGCGUGAGUGAAGAAGGGUUUCGGCUCGUAAAGCUCUGUUGGUAGUGAAGAAAGAUAGAGGUAGUAACUGGCCUUUAUUUGACGGUAAUUACUUAGAAAGUCACGGCUAACUACGUGCCAGCAGCCGCGGUAAUACGUAGGUGGCAAGCGGUGUCCGGAUUUAUUGGGCGGAAAGCGAGGGCAGGCGG